This 421-nucleotide ribosomal RNA is filed under the name uncultured archaeon. RNAcentral's name for it is "partial 16S ribosomal RNA". It matches the Rfam family "Archaeal small subunit ribosomal RNA", at positions 323 to 746 of the family's 1478-position model. The record is from RNAcentral.
CUACGGGCGGCACCAGUCGAGGAAAUUCUACAAUGCUCGAAAGAGUGAUAGAAUGAGUCAGAGUGUUUCUUUUAGAGAAACUUUUUUCUGUUGUAAAAAGACAGAAGAAUAAGGACUGGGAAAGACCGGUGCCAGCCGCCGCGGUAAUACCGGCGGUCCGAGUCGCAUCCACAUUUAUUGGGUCUAAAACAUCCGUAGCUUGUUUUGUGAGUCUCUUGUGAAAUCUGAUAUCUUAAAUAUCAGGCGUGCAAGAGAUACUACAUCACUAGAGACCGGAAGGCGCAAAGAGUAUGAUUAAGGUAGCGGUAAAAUGUGUUAAUCUUAAUUAGACUAACAAUUAGCGAAGGCACUUUGCGAGUACGGAUCUGACAGUGAGGGAUGAAGGCUAGGGGCGCAAAAGGGAUUAGAUACCCCGGUAGUC